Pteropus alecto (black flying fox) is the source of this 1254-nucleotide long non-coding RNA. RefSeq lists it as uncharacterized. The record is from RefSeq and is a predicted model, not a curated record. Lineage: Eukaryota; Metazoa; Chordata; Mammalia; Chiroptera; Pteropodidae. The transcript has 2 exons.
CCGGUGCGCCGAGAUUCUCGAAGGACGCGGUGAUCGGGAAGCCCGGGGUCUCACACACCAUGUCCCCCGGGGACCCCGUCUCUCUCCGUGUUAGGCAGGGAAGAGGGGAACCGUCCGCUCAGCUGGAGCCUGCCGUACGAACAGCGCCGAACACGCUCCGGACGGCCAUUUUGUAACUCGAAUCUACCCCCUCGAAACCAAUUCGAAAAAAAAAGGGAGGAAAGAAACGCCCGCGUCCAGCUACUGCGCAAGCGCGCCGGGGCCCGGCUCGGCGGCACCAUCUCUCGCGGGCAGCGGGGCGUCACGCCGCGCAUGCGCCCGGCUGCUCGGAAAAAAACCGUCGCCGGGGCCUGCGCCCCAGCCUCACGCAUGCGCGCGCCGGCCUCAGCCGGGAAGCCGGCGCCGGAGUUUGCAGGCGCCGGUCACGUGCCGGCUGCUGUUUGCUUUUGAGGCAUUCGCGCGCGGCCGGCUUUUGCGAGGCGCUCGCGAGCACGGUCAUUCAGUGAGCGUGUCCGAGGCUCUUGCUGUUGCGUGUCGGGUGCCGCCGGGCCGAGGAGAGACAGGCCGCGUGCGGUACCGGAAACGUGAGUGCAAUAGAGAUAGCGUAACGUCGGGUGCGCGGCGACGCCACCGCGUCCCCGAGGGCCCGGCUGUGAUCGCCCGCGACGUGCUUGGCGGCUGAGUGGUCGGGAAGGCCCGGGAUUGCGGAGCCAGGAGGGAUGGCCUCGGUCGUGGAGGAGAAAAAACGGCCCCAUUCACCCGACAGCUUGUGUGUGUCUUCCGUGGCGGCAGCUCUCCGGAAGUAACUUGCCCCAAAUUGCGCAGCUGCUUAGGGUCGACGAAGAAGUUUGCAAACGCGUUUUUGAACUGCGGAGCUAAUGUGUUCACGAAUAUGGCUUUGCAUACUGAUAAAAUGACCUCCAAGGUCAAGAGACGUUGAGCACCGAGGCAGCAGAAUGAAGAAUUUGGGGUCCUUCUUACCAGCCCACAGAGCAUGGGAUUCUUACAUGGUCGUGCCACAGGAACUCAGGAGUCCGUGGAAGAUUCACAUUUCCCCAGACCGAGUCCGAGAGCCGGAAGUGCAGUGGCCGAUGCUGAUUUCACAGGCACUCACCGAGUCUUGUUUCCUCCCAGGAUUCUUCUUGCCUGAGCUUGAACCUAGCAGAAAGUCUUCCUCCUGUAGUUGUUGAGGAAGCAAAGGUUCGCCAAACUGAGUGACGGAAGGAGAAUGAAUAAAGUAAUAUAACAUGGUGA